CAAGCCUAACACAUGCAAGUCGAACGGACAAUUAUUUAUAGCCUCUGGCUAUAGGAAAUUGUUAGUGGCAGACGGGUGAGUAAUGCGUAGGAAUCUACCUAGUAGUACGGAAUAGCCAUUAGAAAUGGUGGGUAAUACUGUAUAAUCCCCGAGGGGGAAAGAUUUAUCGCUAUUAGAUGAGCCUACGUUAGAUUAGCUAGUUGGUGAGGUAAUGGCUUACCAAGGCUAUGAUCUAUAGCUGGUCUGAGAGGACGAUCAGCCACACUGGAACUGAGAUACGGUCCAGACUCCUACGGGAGGCAGCAGUGGGGAAUAUUGGACAAUGGGCGAAAGCCUGAUCCAGCUAUGCCGCGUGAGUGAAGAAGGCCUUCGGGUUGUAAAACUCUUUCAAUAGGGAAGAUAAUGACGGUACCUAUAGAAGAAGUCCCGGCAAACUCUGUGCCAGCAGCCGCGGUAAUACGGAGGGGGCAAGCGUUGUUCGGAAUUAUUGGGCGUAACAGGGCACGUAGGUGGACUAGUAAGUUAAAAGUGAAAUACCAAAGCUUAACUUUGGAGCGGCUUUUAAUACUGCUAGA
RNAcentral lists this ribosomal RNA (575 nucleotides) under Ehrlichia canis. RNAcentral's name for it is "bacterial SSU rRNA". It matches the Rfam family "Bacterial small subunit ribosomal RNA", at positions 43 to 640 of the family's 1533-position model. Lineage: Bacteria; Pseudomonadati; Pseudomonadota; Alphaproteobacteria; Rickettsiales; Anaplasmataceae. The record is from RNAcentral.